Molecule: long non-coding RNA, 2720 nt
Filed under: Homo sapiens (human)
Lineage: Eukaryota; Metazoa; Chordata; Mammalia; Primates; Hominidae
Description: HSALNT0325685
Source: RNAcentral
GGCAUGCUUGAGCGAAGUGUACACACUUGCCACCAUGUUUCCCUCCUGUCAUAAAUGUGACAAGAGUAAUAUAGCUGAAGCAGCCAUCUUGUGACCACAAGCAACGGACUAGUAGGGGAAGAGUCGACACACUGAAGAGAAGAAAGCAAAAAGAAGAAAGAGAAAAGUGGAUUCUCAACUAGAAGCAAAAACAUCCACUGAAGUUUGUGAGAGUGCAAUAGGCAGUGCCACAGAUCUUUCUGAGGAAGUACUACCAUAUGACUUCACCUUCUCAGGCUGAGGUAUCAGCUUGACUGUCACUCCACAGAUCAAGACUAGAGGUAAAUGUAAACACUAUACAGGUGGGAUGAGAAACAGCUGUUCAGCUGCCUGGCUAGAAGAACAGGCCCAGUUCUUUGCUACAGGAUGGACAUGGAAAAGUUCAGGCAUUUGAAGUUACUGGCGUCAGCCACAUGAGAUUGAUGACGGGAUUGGCUUCUACAAGAGGUCCAUGUGGUUCUCAUUUCUGAAAACAGAUGUUUGGAAACCAAUGUUUUCAAAGAUAAUAUGAAACUACACCAAUAUGCUGCACUAUGGAGAAAAACUAACCUUGACAGAAGAAAAAAGAUUUUCUUGAGGCAGAAGAUGAAGGACUAUUGGUCGGGACAUUCACAGAAGUCUGUUCUGUAAGUUGGGUUAUAUGGAAGCAGAGAUGCUAGGUCAACCCAUGUUGUGCCCUCCCUCUUUUGGUAAGCAAAACACUGAUGCUUAUGACAUCUUCCUUUUCUUUGGUGGUGGCCUUGAAAAUUGUUAUUCCUUCCAGAAAGGGCUGGAUGUCACUCGCUUAUGAAUUUGAAUCCUUCUCUUUUUGCCAAAUGAUAGAACUGAGCUUGCUCCAUGAGCUUCAUGUGUGUAAACAUUAGUGGGGAUCCAAGUGGCUCUGCAGGUAGAAUAGACACUCAGGUCCCUCCUGCCCAAGUCCAGGGGCUUGCUUCCAUGAAUCCAAUCCUUUAGUUCAUAUCAGUUCAUGGUGUACCAGAAGCCUCAACACAUCUGCAAAUUUUUACAGAACAUGUUUGUGCAAGGAAAUAAAUUAGGUCACCAGGCCUUCAAAGGCUCCUUCCACUUAGGGGUGGUGGAGCCCAUGAAGCUGAGAAUCACCCUUGCCAGCUGUUGGAACUUGAAAUAAUCCUCCAAAAACCUCUUGCUAUUUUAGGAGGGUCAUCCUGGUGGGUCUGUGUAUGCUGUAAAAGAGUGGCUCACUAUUUAACCACCCAUCUCUACUGUGCUGAUUUAGGGACCACGAUCACUUGAGCUUUUCUUGGUGCCUGGGAUCUGUCUUUCUGCACAGGGAUAAUCUAGGCUUAUUUGUGGCUUUUUUCCCCUGCAUUUCCUUUACUUGCUCACUUUCCUUCUUUUCCUCACUAUGUUUCCAUUUGAAAUCAGUUUUCACAUAUGCAUUUCAGUGCAACUCUACCUUCAGGAACUUACUGGAUUACACAGGAAAUUCCUUAUAGUGUGUGACCAUCUGCACUGCAAACAAUUUUCAGGGAAUUGACUAGCUACUAAUACCACUUACAAAAAAUCUAAUAAGGGGUUUAACAUUUUCAUAAGGAAAAUUAAUAUUUAUAUUUUCUGUUUUGGUUGGGUUACAUUUUUACUAUUUUGAGAAAAAAAGUAUUGCAUUUUUAAAAAGUGAACAAAAAAAGCUCUCAUACAAUUGAAUGGUAUUGCCAAAAGAAAUUAAGAAGUCAGAAUUUGAUGAUUCAAUAUAUUAUAAAUAUAUUUUUGACCAUAGUCCUAAACUAUCAUCUGUCAAGUUGUAUUAUUUUGAGUACAUAAGUAUUUUUCAUGUUCUUAUUUGUUUUCUAUAAUGCCUCAUAACAUAUAUAGCUCUGUGAGUCUGUUCUUUCAGAAGAUCUUAUCUCUUGUUAGUUUUCAAGGAUUUCCAGGUUCACAGCAGCUGACUUUUUACUACACAUUUUAUGACUCUAAAACCAUUAGAAGAACAUCAAUGCUUCCCUAAAUUGGUUUUUUGGAGAAAAUGUAAUAUGUUUGAUGAAUUCAAAUAAAAAGAUGGAAACAUAACAGCAUAUUGGAUUACUUGUUAAUUUUUCUUUCUCAAAUGUUUUAUAUUGAAAGGAAUUGAUUUGUGGAGUACAUUUUCAAACCAAUUUCACCUUCGUUUCUAGAAAAACUACAUUUUGUCCUAGAAAGCUAUCGACAUUUCAUCAGAGGAAAUAGAUUCAGAAUUGCUGCCCAGUAAAAUCUUUUUUAGCGAUAGUUCUCUAUCUUUCACCAAAGACAAUGCAAUUGACCUUGGGUUGGAGGAUAAAAAGCUGCCAUUAUCAAGUGACAGAAUAACUGGUUGUCUUCCUCUGCUAGGUUUUUGGCAUCACAGAGUUCUCUGAGUCAAGCUUUCACAUAGAGAAAUAACUAAUCCAAUAACUAUAACAACUUAAAUUAUACAAUUACUUUAUCUUUGUCAAUUUAAACUGGUGAGUUUAUCAAAAACAAAAACGGAACUUCAAACACAUUUAGAGAUCAUAAGCAUAAGUGAAAUAAGACUUAAAGGUAUCUUACCAUCUAAAAUCAUCACAAGUCAAUUUCAUAUACCUUAAGAUGUUUAUCUCUGUGCCCUGCCUCAUUUCAGAACAGGAGGCCAGAAUCCAUUCAAAUUAAAAUAGUUUCAAAUAGCAAUUCAAAAACAAACCCAUUAAUUGUCUCUUUCCAAAUGAUUA